AGCUAGCUAUGCUUGAAGAUAGACAAAUGCUCUGCACAGAGUGUGAUGUCCUCCCACCAGGAAGCUGGGGCAAAAAGAUAAUGAGCUCAAGGCCAACCCAUACUACAUAGGGAGCUCAAGCCAAAAACAAAGUCAAUACAGAUAAAAAGCCCCCAUGAACAGUGCAUGUGAGCAGAGAGCAGACGUGUGCACAUACAGACCUGCUACAGGAGGCUAUCGACAAACGCCCCUCCAAAAAGUGCUAGCGUGGUCCUGAAUGGCUGCAGCCCCAGCACUGCUGAAGCACAGAGAGGGCACGUCUACAGUCUGAGGUGAGUCUGGACUACAUUUAAGCACUGCUGCAACUGAAUGUGACAGCCGAUCAAAUGCACAGUUCACAACCCUAAGCAAAACUGAACAUUAAGGCAAAUUAUUUUCAAAAAUAAUUUAGGCCGUUUUCAAUAUAAACUAUUCCCGAAAUACAAACAUUACUCAAGCUUAAUGGAAAUAGCACAAAAGCAUUCACUAAUUAUGAAAAAUUACUGCAAAUAAUAAAAAGUUUUUUAAGUACAAUACCUUGGUUAAUGCAGCAGUAUGAUCUUCUCCGCAACAAAUAUAAACUAUUUUCUGAGAUCUUAGUGACUUUAGUAAAUUAGGAACAUACCUAUCUGAAAAUUCCAAUAAAAGACGUUAAUGAUAUUUUAACUAAAAAUGUGUUCCUUUAUAGAUUUCCAAAUUCAGUAGCUGUAAUAAUAAUUUUUACUAUCAAUCAAAGACUUCCUAAGAAAAAAGGCCUAUAAAACUGGGUUUCCAGGUCUUAUGAUAAAGUAAGGACUCAAAGAUGAGCAUUCGAUUGCCCUACUACCAAUGUACACAGGGUUCAACAAUACAGGACUUUGGUGUUUUCAGAUUUUCUACAUGUGUAUAAUUCUUUAUUCUGUAAUGGCCAUGUUCAGAGAUUCUACUCAAUAGCCUGAUCUACUUUCUGCACUUUGUGGCAAAACAAUAAUAGCAUAACAUGAGUAUAUUUUUAUGCAGAAUAAAAACCAUUAUCUAAUUCUAUGAGAGAAUUAUUUACGUAUCAUUAUUAUUAGGUAAAAACACACUUUGGCCAUCUCAGGCAUUACAAGUAUACUGACUGUUACAACCUAUGACUUAUAUGCCAAAUAUUCGCAUUCAAAAACUGGUAAGUAUGAAAUGUCAGAAAAAAGAUUGUGACUUGUUUCAAAUAGUUGUUUAAAAUUAAAAUGUUUAUUUUCAAGACAAUAAUCAGUGUAAAAAGAAGCUCAAUCAAAAAAUAAUCUAACAACCCAGAUCAUAUAAAUCCAACUUGAAACAAUAAUAUCAACUAAAUAUGUCAUGUUACUUUCCCAGAGCAAAAAUUUUUCAGUACCAGGCUAAGCUACUGCACAUAUGUUCUAAAAGGAAACUUUAGACGUAGCUUCUUGGCUAAUUAAUUGUAUAGCUUCUUUCCAUUAAUGGUGGCCAAUCCUGGAGCAACACUGGUUACCAACUUAACUCAGUAUUUAUACACUGUCUCUUAAUGGCAUCCAACAAUGAAGACAUAAACAGCACAGCCUUGCUUUUCUUUCAGUGCUGGGGAUUAACCCCACAGUCCCGUGUAGUAGGCAAGCAGUCUACCAUGGACCUACAUAUAAUAGCAGUACAAGUGAUCUCAAGAAUAUUUUCCUUCUUUUUUUUGUGGGGAAAAGGUGCUGGGGAUUAAACCCAGGGCCUUGUGCGUACUAGGCGUGAGCUUUUCCACUGAGCGAUAUCUCCAGGUCCCAACAAACUUUCCAAUUUAUUACAUGCUAAUUUUCAGCCUUCCCAGGAUCCUCCCAAACACAUUAAAAUGUUAAACUAACAUCCUCAGGUCCACCACUAUUAGUCCUGGGAAUGUUUGGGUAUACAUUUCUCCAAUGCUCUAAGAAUCACUCAUUUAUCUCAGAAGAUCAUCUUUUAAAAAUAUGCUUAACUAUAAAGCACACCUACCAUUUUCAUCAUUAAGACCUAGCUGACCAAAUUUGUUACGUCCCCAUCCAAAGAUAGCUCCGGAAAGGGUGAGUACAAAACUAUGGGCUCCUCCUGCUGCGACUUGCAUGAAUGGUAUUCCAAGCAAAGACUUAAUCAGCUGUGGUGAAGUUUGCUUUUGACAAUCAAUGCCUAGACCCAGCUGGCCAUAUUUAUUCUGUCCCCAACAGAAAACUUCACUUGCUGUAAGACAAAAAUCAUAAAAUUAUUUUACACACACACAGUAUCAUUUGAAGAUCAACUACCCUUUUGAGACAUUCUCUCAUUAGAUGAAAAUACAUACUUACUGAACGAAGAAGUUUGGUUUUUUUAUAUGAAAACAUACUACUACUUAGAGACUAUGUCUUAUGAAACUGGUUAAGUUUCAGCAACACACUGGUAACCAGUCAUACAAGCUAGGAAUACACUCAUUUCCUUAUGCCCUACAACAGAGGACUCUCUAACAUUCUUCAUCUCUCUUACUCUCUAAGCUUUCCCCAAGAGGUACUCUUCUAAUCUCAAGGCUUCAGCUAUCAGCAUAUGCAAAUCUAAACUAAGAAACACCCUGCAACCCACUACUUAUCUGACACCUACACAAGGAUGUUCCAGAGCCACUUCUAACUCACUGUGCCCAGACUGAAUAUGGCUUCCACCCCAUUGCCAAUCCUCAGGGCUCUCCUCCCCGCGUUGCCCUUCACCAGCAGAGGUCAGAUACCCGGGAUGUCGUUCCUUCUCAGACAUCAACAACUCCAAAUCUACGAAGGAUUACUAUGUUACAGGUUUGGGUUUGUUUGUUUGUUUGUUUGUUUUUCUCUUUCUGGUAAAUAGAUCUGUUUUAGCAUCCUU
Mus musculus (house mouse) is the source of this 2835-nucleotide long non-coding RNA. RefSeq annotates it as predicted gene, 51767. Lineage: Eukaryota; Metazoa; Chordata; Mammalia; Rodentia; Muridae. The transcript is spliced from 2 exons. The record is from RefSeq and is a predicted model, not a curated record.